Molecule: ribosomal RNA, 463 nt
Filed under: uncultured bacterium
Lineage: Bacteria
Description: partial 16S ribosomal RNA
Rfam family: Bacterial small subunit ribosomal RNA
Source: RNAcentral
GACGAACGCUGGCGGCGUGCUUAACACAUGCAAGUCGAACGAUGAAGCCAGCUUGCUGGUGGAUUAGUGGCGAACGGGUGAGUAACACGUGGGUGAUCUGCCCCAAACUUUGGGAUAAGCCUGGGAAACUGGGUCUAAUACCGAAUAUGACCGAUACUCGCAUGGGUGUUGGUGGAAAGCUCCGGCGGUUUGGGAUGGGCCCGCGGCCUAUCAGCUUGUUGGUGGGGUAAUGGCCUACCAAGGCGACGACGGGUAGCCGGCCUGAGAGGGCGACCGGCCACACUGGGACUGAGACACGGCCCAGACUCCUAUGGGAGGCAGCAGUGGGGAAUAUUGCACAAUGGGCGCAAGCCUGAUGCAGCGACGCCGCGUGAGGGAUGACGGCCUUCGGGUUGUAAACCUCUUUCACCAGGGACGAAGCGAAAGUGACGGUACCGGGAGAAGAAGCACCGGCCAACUACGU